RNAcentral lists this ribosomal RNA (513 nucleotides) under uncultured bacterium. Its description in RNAcentral is "bacterial SSU rRNA". It matches the Rfam family "Bacterial small subunit ribosomal RNA", at positions 791 to 1304 of the family's 1533-position model. The record is from RNAcentral.
UAGUCCACGCUGUAAACGAUGGAUACUAGGUGUAGGAGGUAUCGACCCCUUCUGUGCCGGAGUUAACACAAUAAGUAUCCCACCUGGGGAGUACGGCCGCAAGGUUGAAACUCAAAGGAAUUGACGGGGGCCCGCACAAGCAGUGGAGUAUGUGGUUUAAUUCGAAGCAACGCGAAGAACCUUACCAGGGCUUGACAUACCAUGAAGUUGUCAGAGAUGACAAUGUUCCUUCGGGACAUGGAUACAGGUGGUGCAUGGUUGUCGUCAGCUCGUGUCGUGAGAUGUUGGGUUAAGUCCCGCAACGAGCGCAACCCUUAUCGUUAGUUGCCAGCACGUUAUGGUGGGCACUCUAGCGAGACUGCCGGCGACAAGUCGGAGGAAGGUGGGGAUGAUGUCAAAUCAUCAUGCCCCUUAUGUCCUGGGCUACACACGUACUACAAUGGCCGUUACAACGGGCAGCGAAACCGUAAGGUGAAGCAAAUCCCCAAAGGCGGCCCCAGUUCGGAUUGUGGG